This is an RNA transcript of Phoenix dactylifera (date palm), 2942 nucleotides long. It is a transcript of the gene named zeaxanthin epoxidase (ZEP) (ABA1), with no coding region annotated. The record is from RefSeq and is a predicted model, not a curated record. Lineage: Eukaryota; Viridiplantae; Streptophyta; Magnoliopsida; Arecales; Arecaceae.
GCAUGACGAAAAGCUCCGCUCAUCACCAUCCUCGGCGCCGAUCUACUAUCCUCAAAGGCCCUUUUUAUUUCCGUCCAACCAGAUAUGAUAGAUCUGGUAUGCCCUCCUGGUCUUCUUCUCGAUACCUACCUGUGGAAGGGGAACAGAGGAACACUUCCAAAUCUAUAUUGCCCUGGGACAUCAGUCUUCCCAGAGUCCAAGCACAUCUUACAAUAUAGAGUGAUCCGUAUACCUCGUUCCGCUAGCAUCCUGGUCGUCCGCUAGCCUGCCACGUUUUCGUGCCCACAUCUCUGAGAGUGGAAAAAGGACAAAAAUCCACUUCCCGACCAUCCCCACCACCCCCUCGAUCUCCCAACAAGCUCCACACAAAAACCUGCACCUCUGCUGCGCCAAGGAAAAAAGAAAAAAAAAACUUGUCAAACUGCUAUCUUUGCUCGGCCUCUCGUAUUAGAGUGAUUCAGAGCUUGAUUCUAGAGUAGACCAGUACUUUGUUUUCUCCAUUGUACCUUUGUUCUUCUUGGGCAUCGAUAUCAAGUGGCUAUGGCGCUCUUGCACACUGCUCCCCUUCCUUCUUCAAGUCCUCACUCAAAGAUUCACCUCCCAGCUUUCACCUCCGGUUCCCUUUCGCUAGUCUUGUCACCUUCUGCUCUCCAUAACAAUAUCAAGCAGAGGAGAAGGAGUAGUAGGAGGGUGGUGGCUUCGGCCUCCGAUGCGGCUGCCGGGAGUGCGGGGACAGCACGGCCGAACACGCCAGCUUCUCCUCCGAAGCUCCGCAUCCUGAUUGCCGGCGGUGGGAUCGGGGGGCUGGUGUUUGCGCUGGCGGCGAAGAGGAAGGGUUUCGAUGUGCUGGUCUUCGAGAAGGACGUGAGCGCCAUUAGAGGGGAGGGGCAGUACAGGGGCCCAAUUCAGAUUCAGAGCAAUGCGUUGGCUGCGCUGGAAGCUAUUGAUCCGGAGGUCGCGGAGGAGGUGAUGGAGGCGGGGUGCAUCACGGGGGACCGGAUAAAUGGUCUUGUGGAUGGGAUAUCUGGAACUUGGUACAUCAAAUUUGAUACAUUUACUCCUGCAGUGGAACGUGGCCUUCCUGUUACAAGAGUUAUUAGCCGCAUGACCUUGCAAGAAAUAUUGGCCCGGGCAGUUGGUGCUGAUGUUAUUGUAAAUGACAGUACUGUUGUUGAUUUUACUGAAGACGGAGAUAGGGUUACUGUUAUACUUGAGAAUGGACAGCGGUAUGAAGGUGAUCUUUUAGUUGGAGCUGAUGGAAUAUGGUCGAAGGUGCGCAAGAUCCUAUUUGGAGCCACAGAAGCAUCUUAUUCAGGCUACACCUGCUACACUGGUAUUGCAGAUUUUGUGCCCCCAGAUAUUGAAACUGUUGGGUACCGAGUAUUUCUGGGUCACAAACAAUAUUUUGUAUCUUCAGAUGUGGGUGCUGGAAAAAUGCAAUGGUAUGCAUUUCACAAGGAACCACCUGGUGGCACUGAUGCUCCAAAUGGUAGAAAGGAAAGGUUGCUUAAAAUAUUUGGUGGUUGGUGUGAUAAUGUCAUAGACUUGUUAGUUGCAACUAAUGAGGAUGCGAUUCUUCGCCGUGACAUAUAUGAUCGUGUACCUAUUAUGAGCUGGGGAAGGGGUCGUGUGACUUUGCUUGGAGAUUCUGUCCAUGCUAUGCAGCCUAAUAUGGGACAAGGUGGUUGCAUGGCUAUUGAGGAUAGUUACCAACUUGCUCUAGAACUUGAGAAAGCAUGGAUUGAAAGUGCUAGAACUGGAGCUCCUAUAGAUAUCACAUCUCCGCUAAAGCGUUAUGAGAAUGAAAGAAGACUUCGUGUCGCUAUUGUAUAUGGAAUGGCUAGAAUGGCUGCAAUAAUGGCUUCCACUUACAGGCCAUAUCUGGGUGUAGGACUGGGACCCUUGUCGUUUUUGACCAAGUUCCGAAUACCACAUCCCGGAAAAGUUGGUGGAAGAUUUUUUAUCAAGCUUGCUAUGCCAGCAAUGCUGAGCUGGGUUCUUGGUGGUAACAGUUCAAAACUUGAAGGGAGGUCAUUAAGCUGCCGACUCUCUGACAGGGCAAGUGACCAGUUACAACGGUGGUUUAAGGAUGAUGAUGCGCUGGAGCGAGCUCUUAGCGGAGAGUGGUAUCUCUUUCCAACUAACGGUUCCUUGCAACCCAUUCAUUUGAUCAAAGAUGAGAAAAUGCCAAUUAUUAUUGGAAAUCAGUCUCAUGCCGAUAUGCCAGGUGUGUCAGUAGUCUUGCCUUCACCAGAGGUAGCAGAUAUUCAUGCUUGUAUAAGUUGCAAGGAAAACGCCUUUUUCUUGACUAAUAUGCAGAGCCAAUAUGGUACCUGGAUCAUUGACAAUGAAGGGAGGCGGUAUCUAGUGCCUCCCAACUUUUCUGUUCGUUUCCACCCAUCAAAUGUGAUUGAAUUUGGCUCUGAUAAGAAGGCUAUAUUUCGUGUGAAGGUUCUAAAGACACUUCCAGAAAACUUGACGGGUGAGGGGCGACAAAUCUUGCAGGCAGCUUGAGUGCCGAUGAAGACCGUUACACACAAGAAUUAUGCAGCAUGCAGCCACACAGCAAUAUAUUAUAGUUUAGCUGUUGACUACAGCAAGGAUAUGGCAUGUCAUCACCUAUUUUAUUAGGCAUCUCUCCGCAACAAAGGAUCGAGCACCGGGUUCAGAUAAUUUGAAGGUUGCUUCUUUUUUCAGAGUACUUAUGCAUAUAGUUACCUGUUUCCUCUUCACUUUGUCCAUACUCACACUGAACCUGUUAAAUUGAUGAUGCAAUUAACGUGUCGCAAUAUGAAAAAGAAGUUGGGCAUCCAUUAUUGGCAGAGCAGCCUUUUAUUCCUAGUAUGAACUAAUAGCCUAUAGAAGGUUCAAAGUUUCAGUCUUCUUUUCCUACUUGAGAAUUUUAUAUGGGCGGUGCAUAAACAUUUAGUCUAUUCAUGGUU